This is an RNA transcript of Gigantopelta aegis, 2380 nucleotides long. It is a transcript of the gene named peroxisomal carnitine O-octanoyltransferase-like, with no coding region annotated. Lineage: Eukaryota; Metazoa; Mollusca; Gastropoda; Neomphalida; Peltospiridae. The record is from RefSeq and is a predicted model, not a curated record. The transcript is spliced from 17 exons.
UGCAAAGGAUUUUCACUUUGUUUUGUUUUGGUUUGAACAACAGAACGUUUGCCUCAGCACUUUUUCUUCAUGUGCAAGCACCAUGGCAGAUUUGAUGUUCAUGACGGAUACAGAGAAGACGUUUCAGUAUUCCAAGGAUCUCCCUUCUCUGCCCAUCCCUCCUUUACACCACACACUACAGAGAUAUCUGGACUCAGUAAGGCCUUUGGUGUCUGAUAAAGAAUACGAAGAAACCGUGAAAAUAGUGGACAGAUUUGAACAUGGAAUUGGAAAGGAAUUGAAUCUCAAAUUACAUGAAAGAGCCAAAUACAUGCGCAAUUGGCUUUCCAAAUGGUGGGAAGAUGUUGCGUACUUGGAAUUCCGAGAGUCGAUAGCCGUGCGUCAGAACAUCAGUGGAGUCGGUCCGUACAUGUACGAUGUGUGGCCGGCCUGCGUGGGAAGUCAGAUGGAGAGGGCGGCACUGAUGCUGCACUACACGAUGGACUUCUGGCGGAACAUCAGAAAAGAACGUAUUCAACCACAAAAGGAUUCAAAAGGAAGACAUCUUUGCAUGAACCAGUUUUAUUACAUGUACAACACGUACAGAGUUCCUGGCUUGCACAAAGAUGAAUUGUUACACUACUUUAAAACUGAAUCACAAGGUGACACACCGUCCAAUGUUAUUGUCACAUAUAAAGGUCGUCUCUUCAGUGUGGAGAGUCUCGAUGAUAAAGGGGAAUUGCUGACUGCACCGGAAUUUCAGCAGAUUCUACAGACAAUACAUGAUAGAUGUAACAGUGAACCGCAUGGCCAGUGUGUUUCCGUUCUAACGGCUGAUAAUCGCACCAGAUGGGCACAGAUGCGCAACAGGAUAAUCGCUCUACAUCCAAAGAACUACGAGACACUGGAAAUCAUCCAGAAAGCUGCAUUUCUGAUUGGCUUGAGUGACGACAGUCCAGCAAACGAGUCUGAGCUUGCCUGGCGAGGGUUUGGAGACAGUCCGGAGAACAAAUGGUUUGACAAGUCGGUCAACAUUGUCGUCUUCAAAAAUGGACUGGUCGUCUCGGGAUGUGAUCAUAGCCCGUGUGAUGCCAUGGUCUUUGUGGUAUCAACGUUUUAUCUACACUUGAUGUUGAGAGAGUGCAAUGGAAAAUGGAAUGGAAGCCACACGAUCAGGACCCUGCCUCCUGUUGAGGAAUUAAAGUUUCACAUUGAUGAUCAGAUUGCGCGACACAUCGAUCUCGUGAGAGAUGAGUUCCAGAAAGAGGCUGACAAUCUAGAAGCGGUCACUACCCACUUCCGGAACUAUGGCAAGGCGUACCUGAAGACUGUGCGAAUUCACCCGGACACUCACGUUCAGCUGGCCAUGCAGUACGCCUAUUACAAGAAAUACAGGCGACCUGCUGCGACGUACGAGUCAGCUACAACUCGUAUAUUCUACAAUGCACGCACCGAGACAGUCAGAUCUUGUACGGUGGAAGCUCAAGACUGGUGUAAAUCAAUGGUGGACCCCAAGGCCAGUGCUCAAAGACGCGUCCAGCUGUUUCUACGUGCCACUGACAAACACAACACGCUAAUGCAGGAAGCUCAAGAAUUAAAAGGUUGCGACCGACAUCUGCUUGGCCUGUACCUGAUUUCAAGAGAGAAUAAUCUGGAUGUCCCAGAACUAUAUAUGGAUCCAUCCUUCAUUAAGAGUGGAGGUGCAGGCAAUUUUGUGAUCUCGUCCAGUUUUGUUGGCUUCACAACAGUGUACGGGGGAGUGGCUCCCAUGUGCAAGGAUGGUUACGGCAUCAUCUACAGGAUCCAGGAUGAUGAGAUUGUCUUCUACUUGUCAGCGUGGAAGUCUGACGAGGAGACGGAUGCGCGGGAGAUGGAGAGAAUGCUCCAUGACUGUCUGGAUGAGAUGCGGCUGCUCAUUGACAACCACCACAUAACCUCCGCCCGUCUGUAGCCUCCUCCUGUCUAUAGCCUUUUUUCGUCUGUAGCCUCUGCUCAUUAUUUGACAAAAAGUUUUUAUAGACUAAACCCGGUAUGUAUCACUUGUUACUUUUCAGUUAAUUAAUGGUUAUUGUUGAUGAAGUAGAAUUAGUUAAUGUGUUGUUUUUGUUUUGUUUUUUUCUUGAAAACUGGUAGUACUUGUUGUAUGCUCUUUGGAUGUUACUGGAUUUAGUGAUUAAACCGUAAACCAAUUUAAACCAAGUUUUAUUAACCCGUAAACUCCAUGCAUGCAUGUACUUGUGUGUAUGUGUAUAAUUACAUUGUCCGAACUAGAGGGUGUAGUUAUUAUUGUUUUGGGGGUGGGAUGUAGCCCAGUGUUAGAGUGCUUGCUUGAUGUGUGGUCAGUGUGGGAUCGAUCCCCGUUGGUGGGCCCAUUGGGCUGUUUCUCAUUCCAGCCAGUGCA